RNAcentral lists this long non-coding RNA (1033 nucleotides) under Salvia miltiorrhiza (redroot sage). RNAcentral's name for it is "long non-coding RNA (SMIL_LNC008754)". Lineage: Eukaryota; Viridiplantae; Streptophyta; Magnoliopsida; Lamiales; Lamiaceae. The record is from RNAcentral.
UCAACGCCAGAUGACUCAAUUCUUUGACAGGUCUUGGGUGCGCUCAGGCCUGGGAUUGUUUGAAUCUGGUUUGAGUGAGGUUGUUGUUAUGUUUGGCAUCUCACGAAGUUGGGAGAAUUCUGCACAACGGCUCGAGAAGAUUGAGUAUUUUCUUCUUGAUGCUUAAGCCAAGGAGAAUGAAGCCAUCGUCCGAAUUGCUUUGAUCAAGGAAGUGCUUGCUAUGAUAGAGAGGUGGAAGACAGAGAUGACGUUGUCCUUCAAGCAAGAUAGUGUCUCCUUUCAUAUUGUCCGAGGUGUAAUCCCAGAAUUCAAAAGAGAUUUUGACAAACAUAAAGUUGCACAUGUUGAUGAGGAAAUGCUGCGGAAUUUUGAAGACUUCAGAGUCACUUUUGAUCUCUGCUCAGAGAACUUUGGAGGAUCAAGACCCAUUUACUUAGUAUUGGUGCAAACCGCAGUUUCUAUCAUUUCUCUCUUGAUGAUUCUUAUUUGGUUUGUGAUGGAUAUUUUGACAUCUUCUCCAAAUGCUUGUGCUUCUUUUGAUGGCUUGAUUUUCUUCCCAAUUUGAGACAUAUUCGGCUUCAUAUAAUCAACUUAAAUCAUAACUUUGAUGAUAUAAAUUGAAAAGAGCCAAACACAAUUCAUGACUGAACUUAGAAAUUAUCUAAGCUGCCUACGUACCCUUUUGAAAGGGAUCAAGUCAAAACGUAGUUCAUAUGAUCAACGGGUGUUUGAGAUUGGGUGCCGUGCACAGUUUAUACUCAUGCGGGCCAGGAGUAACAUGCAGUUUAGGCUCGUGCGUCAAGGAGCUGUCUUCAUACACUCCAUUUUGUUUGCUUUUCUCCAUUUCUGGUUUUUCAUCUGACUCAUUUUUUUGGCUUUUCUGCUUUUCUAUUUUUUUUUGGCUUUUCAUGCUUUCCUAUUUUUUUUUCUGUUUUUCUAUUUUUUGGCUUUUUUUUUUAAAUAACUAUACACAUAUAUACAUGCUUCAACUUCUACCACCCUUCAAGGAUAGUAGUACUUCAAGAACUUUCCG